This 253-nucleotide ribosomal RNA is filed under the name uncultured bacterium. RNAcentral describes it as "partial 16S ribosomal RNA". It matches the Rfam family "Bacterial small subunit ribosomal RNA", at positions 524 to 776 of the family's 1533-position model. The record is from RNAcentral.
UACAUGUGGGGCAAGCGUUGUUCGGAAUUACUGGGCAUAAAGGGUGCGUAGGCGGUUUGUUAAGUCACAGGUGAAAGUUUUCGGCCCAACCGGAAAAUUGCCUGCGAUACUGGCGAACUUGAGUGCGUGAGGGGUAGGGGGAACGAGCAGUGUAGCGGUGAAAUGCGUAGAUAUUGCUCGGAAGGCCGGAGCCGAAGGGGGCCUACUGGUGCGCAACUGACGCUGAUGCACGAAAGCGUGGGGAGCAAACAGG